GAAAUAAAAUAAUUAAUUAAUUAAUAAAUAAUAAAAAUAAUUUUAAUAUAUAUAUAUAUUUUGGGGGUUAAAGUAUUAUAUAAAGAAAAAAUUAUAAAUUUUAUAGGGGAUUAGUAUUGUAAAAGAAUUUUGAAAUAUAUGAAAAUAAAUUUAUUAAAAAGUAAUUUUUAUUUAAUGUAUCUUGUGUAUCAGAGUUUAUUUAAAAUUUUUAAUUUAUAAUUAAUUUCUCGAAUUUAAAAGAGCUAAAUAAUUAAAAAAGUUAUUGUGAUAAAACUAUUUUAAAUAAUUAUUUUGAAAUGAAAUGUUAUUCGUUUUUAAAGAUAUCUAGUUUUUUUAGAAAAAAAUUUAAUUUUAAAUUUAUUAAUUAAUAAUUUUAAUUAGAUAAUUUUAUUAAAAAUAAUUUUUAUAUUUUAAGGGAUAAGCUUUAAAUUAAAUUUUUAUAAUAAUUAAUUAUUAUUUUAAAAAUUUUAUAAUUUAUAUUGUUAAUAAAUUUUAUUUUAUUAAAAAUAAUUUUAAAUAAUAAUAAAAUUUAAUUUUUUUAUUUAAAUUUAUAUAAAAUUUUAAAUAUUUUAAUUAAAAAAAAUUAGUAAUAAUGAUAAAAUUAGUAUAUUAAUAUUAUUAUAAUUAUUUUGAAUUAUAUUUUAAAUUAUUAUUAUUAAUAAAAUUAAUUUAAAGGAAUUCGGCAAAAAAUUAUAUUCACUUGUUUAACAAAAACAUGUCUUUUUGAAUUUUAUUUAAAGUCUAAUCUGCCCACUGAUUUAGAUAUUAAAGGGCUGCAGUAAUUUGACUGUACAAAGGUAGCAUAAUCAUUAGUCUUUUAAUUGAUGACUAGUAUGAAAGAUUGAAUGAAAUAUAUACUGUCUCUAAAUUAAUUUAUAGAAUUUAAUUUUUUAUUUAAAAAGUUAAAAUAAAUUAAAAAGACGAGAAGACCCUAUAGAGUUUUAUAUUUAUUUUUAUAUUAAGUUAUUUUUAUUGAAAAGAUUUCUAUAAAUUUAGAUAUUUUAUUGGGGUGAUAAAAAAAUAAAAUUAACUUUUUUUUUAUGAAACAUAUAUAAAUGAAUAUAUGAUCCAAUUUUAUUGAUUAUAAGAUUAAAUUACCUUAGGGAUAACAGCGUAAUUUUUUUUUUUAGUUCUAAUAAGAAAAAAAGUUUGCGACCUCGAUGUUGGAUUAAGAUAAAGUUUAAAUGCAAAAGUUUAAAAUUUUGAUCUGUUCGAUCAUUAAAAUCUUACAUGAUCUGAGUUCAAACCGGUGUGAGCCAGGUUGGUUUCUAUCUUUUAAAAAAAUUAAUAUUUUAGUACGAAAGGAUUAAAUAUUAUAAUUAAAUUAUAACAUACAUUAAGAAUUUUAUUAAAUAUUUAAUAAAAAUAAUAAAUAAAAUAUAAA
This 1384-nucleotide ribosomal RNA is filed under the name Obeidia gigantearia. Its description in RNAcentral is "16S ribosomal RNA". The record is from RNAcentral. Lineage: Eukaryota; Metazoa; Arthropoda; Insecta; Lepidoptera; Geometridae.